Long non-coding RNA from Syngnathus acus (greater pipefish), 307 nucleotides. RefSeq lists it as uncharacterized. Lineage: Eukaryota; Metazoa; Chordata; Actinopteri; Syngnathiformes; Syngnathidae. The transcript is spliced from 3 exons. The record is from RefSeq and is a predicted model, not a curated record.
UAACUUGCUUUCGAAUGCAAAUGAUCAAAAAUGUUCGUUAUUUAAUUAAUCAGAAUAUGUGGGGCCCAUGGUGGUUUUUGGGACAUUUGAAUGGACAUUCAUACUCACCAGCCAUGUCAAUUUGAAUUAUGUUUCUGAACACGUUAUAGGCCGUUAUAUGCAAAUAGUACUGUAUUGUAUCAGUGGCGAAUAUUUGGGGAUUUCAAUAAGGCACCUGGGACAACUACGGGGGUCCUAAUUAGUGAUGUGCAUUCCAGUUCUUUUAGGUGAACUGAAUCUGUAGAAUCAGUUCACUAAAAAGAUUCGU